Molecule: ribosomal RNA, 381 nt
Filed under: Calotarsa pallipes
Lineage: Eukaryota; Metazoa; Arthropoda; Insecta; Diptera; Platypezidae
Description: partial 16S ribosomal RNA
Source: RNAcentral
CGAAGGUAGCAUAAUCAGUAGUCUUUUAAUUGAAGGCUUGUAUGAAUGGUUGGACGAAAUACUAACUGUUUCAUUUAAAAUUAUUAUAGAACUUUAUUUUUUAGUCAAAAAGCUAAAAUUUAAUUAAAAGACGAGAAGACCCUAUAAAUCUUAAUAUUUGUAUUAUUUUAAUUAUAAAGAUUAAUUAAAUUAUAAUUUUUACAAAUAUUUUAUUGGGGUGAUAUUAAAAUUUAAUAAACUUUUAAUUUUUAAAACCAUUAAUUUAUGAAUAAUUGAUCCAUUAAUAAUGAUUAAAAAUUUAAGUUACUUUAGGGAUAACAGCGUAAUUUUUUUGGAGAGUUCAUAUUGAUAAAAAAGAUUGCGACCUCGAUGUUGGAUUAA